UCUUUUUUGAGAUGGAGUCUCACUGUGUCCCCCAGGCUGCUGUGCAGUGGUGCAAUCUCAGCUAAAUACAACCUCCACCUCCUAGAUUCAAGCAAUUCUCCUGCCUCAGCCUCCCAAGUAGCUGGGAACACAGGUAUGCGCUACCAUGCCCGGCUAAUUUUUGUAUUUUUAGUAAAGACAGGGUUUCAUUAUGUUGGGCAGGCUGGUCUCGAACUCCUGACAUCAAGUGAUCGACCCGCCUUGGCCUCCCAAAGUGCUGGGAUUGUAGGCAUGAGCCAUCUCCCCUGUCAGAUGACUGUAUUUUGUUAUACUAUUAUUUGGUUUCAGGUCCACUAUGUCCAAAAUGUCUGGGGAAGUGGAGGUGGUGAGCAGGGAGAAACUGGGAUCUGAGCUGUGCCAUUGCUUGCGUGGUACCCUGGUGCUGUGGGCAGAAACACAGAUAUCUGCCUGGUGUGAUUGGGUGGGCAUUUGUGAUAGUCUUUAGGGCUGUCCCUUGAGUGCUUCUGUGUCUUAUGGGUACAAGACAGGAUUGUCCCCUUCCUUUGAGUUUGUUGUAGUCAUGACCUGCUUUGGUCAAUAUAAUAGAUGAAUAAGUGACAUCUGUUACUUCCAGUUGCACUUGGGGAAAGCUGGUGCUUAUUGCCUUGGCCCCUGAUACUGUUGUGAGGGUGUCUUCUCCAUCAUCUUGGGAUCCAGAGUGAGCACAACAUAGUUCAGCACCCCCGACACACAUGCAGUGCAUCUAUACAAAUAACAGUCACAAUAAUGGAAUGGUAUGUUGCUGUCUUAAGUCCCUCAUACUUUUUUUUGUUACCACAGCAUAACCCAGCUCAUCCUGACUGAUGCCACCAUUUCCAGAUAAGAGAAAUGCGACUGAGAAAGAUUAAGAUAUUUUCUUAAGAUUGGACAUUAUGUUCCUACCCACUGUGCUUGCCUUAUAGUUGAAAGAGAGUUUAUUUAAGCACAGAGAUCAAGCAAGAGUGGAGCACAGGACACACUUUCAGGUUGCCUUGGGGACUGCUCUGUAGAACAAAAAAUCAAACUCAAGAUUUUAAGGAAAACAAGUACAAGUGAAGAGAAGGCAUGAUUACCAAAGUUGUUGAUCUAAUUCUCAUUGAUUUACAGAAAUAACAGUGGCUAACGAUCAGCUAUACAUUGUUGAAUUAUAGGAUGUAUGGCAUUUAAAAAUGUAUUUAUUUAAAACUAAUUUUUUUUAGAUUUUUGAUGGAUUUAGGGGUACAGGUGCAGUUGUGUUACAUGGAUAUAUUUUGUAGAGAUGAAAUCUGGGCUUUUAUGUACAACUACCCAAAUAAGAUACAUUGUACCCAAUAGGCAGCAUUUCACUUUCACCCUCAUUCUAUCCUCCCACUGUUUGGAGCCUCCAAUGUCUAUCAUUCCACUCAGUAAGUCCAUGUCCAUGGUUUAGCACCCAUGUAUAAGUGGGAACAUGCAGUUCUUGAUUUUCUGUUUCUGAGUCAUUUCACUAAGGGUAAUGGCCUCCAGUUCCAUACACAUUGCUGCAAAAGUCAUAAUUUCAUUCACUUUUAUGGCUGAAUAGUAUUCCAUGGUGUAUAUCUACCAGAUUGUUUUAUUCAAUGAAGUGUUGAUGGACACUUAGGUUGAUUUCACAACUUUGCUAUUCUGAACUGUGCUACAAUAAACAUACAAAUGCAGAAGGCUUUUUUAUAUAAUGAUUUGUUUCCUUUUGGGGGGUACAUGUGCGGUAGUGGAAUUGCUGGAUUGAAGGGUGGUUCUAUUUUUAGUUUUCUAGAAAUUAUCAUACUGUUUUCCAUAGAGGUCAUAUGAGUUACACAUCAACCGAUACAUAUUUUCCAACAUCUUGUUUUUUGACCAUUUUUGAGACAGGGUCUCCCUCUGUUGCCCAGGCUGAAGUGCAGUGGCAUGAUCAUAGGUCAGUGCAGUCCCAACCUCUUGGGCUCAAGGCGUCCUCCUGGCUCUGCCUCCUAAGUAGCAAGGACUACAGGCCCACACCACCACACGUGGAAUUUUUUUUUUUUUUUUUUUUUUUUGCUUGUUGAGACAAGGUCUCACUAUGUUGCCCAGGCUUAUCUUGAAUGCCUGGACUCAAGUGAUCCACCCACCUCAGCCUCUCAAAAUACUGUGAUUACAAGCAUGAGCCACUGCACUUGUCCGUUUUUUGACUGUUUAAUAACAGCCAUUGUGACUAGUAUAAGAUGGCAUGGCAUUGUGGCUUUAAUUUUCAUUUCUCUGAUACUUAAUUAUGUUAAGUAUUUUCAUAUGUUUGCCGUUUGUAUGUCUUUUAUUUAAAAAUGUCUGUUCAUACCCUGUGGCCACUUUUUAAUGGGGUUAUUCUUGUUUUUCUUGUUGAGUUGUUUAAGUUCCUUGUAGAGUCUGAAUAUUAGCUCUUUGUCAGAUACACUGCUGGCAAAUCUUUUCGCCCAUUCUACAGUUUGUUUGUUUACUGAGAAUUAUUUCUUUUGCUGUGCAGAAGCUUUUUACUUUUAUUAAGUCCCAUUUCUCUGUUUUGGUUUUUGUUGUAUUUUAUUUUGAGGACUUCAUCAUAAAUUCUUUGUCUAGACCAAUAUUUAGAAGAGUUUUUCCUAGGUUGUCUUCUAAGAUUUUUAUAGUUUCAGUUCUUACAUUUAAGUCUUUAAUCCACCUUGAGUUAAUUUUUGUACAUGAUGGAAGGUAAGAGGCCAGUUUCAUGAAUCGACAUAUGGCACACCAAUUAUCCCAGCACCAUUUAUUGAAUAGAAUGUGAUUUCCCUUUAUAUAAUUUUGUCAACUUUGUCAGAGAUCAGUUGGUUGUAGCUAUGUGGCUAUAUUUUUCCGUAUGUGUCUCUUUCUAUAACAUGACCAUGCUGUUUUGGUUACUACAGCCAUACAAUAUAAUGUGAUCUGUCCAAUUUUAUUCUCUUUGCUUAGCAUUACUUUG
RNAcentral lists this long non-coding RNA (2917 nucleotides) under Homo sapiens (human). RNAcentral's name for it is "HSALNT0265780". The record is from RNAcentral. Lineage: Eukaryota; Metazoa; Chordata; Mammalia; Primates; Hominidae.